RNAcentral lists this transfer RNA (74 nucleotides) under Gnetum gnemon. RNAcentral describes it as "tRNA-Asn". It matches the Rfam family "tRNA". Rfam says of the family: Transfer RNA (tRNA) molecules are approximately 80 nucleotides in length. Their secondary structure includes four short double-helical elements and three loops (D, anti-codon, and T loops). The record is from RNAcentral. Lineage: Eukaryota; Viridiplantae; Streptophyta; Gnetopsida; Gnetales; Gnetaceae.
UCCCCAAUAGCUCAGCGGUAGAGCAAUCGGCUGUUAACCGAUUUUAGUCGUAGGUUCAAAUCCUAUUUGGGGAG